UACGGGGGGGGCAAGCGUUGUUCGGAAUUACUGGGCGUAAAGGGCUCGUAGGCGGCCAACUAAGUCAGACGUGAAAUCCCUCGGCUUAACCGGGGAACUGCGUCUGAUACUGGAUGGCUUGAGUGUGGGAGAGGGAUGCGGAAUUCCAGGUGUAGCGGUGAAAUGCGUAGAUAUCAGGAGGAACACCGGUGGCGAAGGCGGGUCUCUGGGCAGUAACUGACGCUGAGGAGCGAAAGCGUGGGGAGCGAACAGG
This 253-nucleotide ribosomal RNA is filed under the name uncultured bacterium. RNAcentral describes it as "partial 16S ribosomal RNA". It matches the Rfam family "Bacterial small subunit ribosomal RNA", at positions 524 to 776 of the family's 1533-position model. The record is from RNAcentral.